RNAcentral lists this ribosomal RNA (477 nucleotides) under Aquiflexum sp. RNAcentral's name for it is "bacterial SSU rRNA". It matches the Rfam family "Bacterial small subunit ribosomal RNA", at positions 214 to 689 of the family's 1533-position model. Lineage: Bacteria; Pseudomonadati; Bacteroidota; Cytophagia; Cytophagales; Cyclobacteriaceae. The record is from RNAcentral.
AUCGGUAAGGGAUGGGCAUGCGUAGGAUUAGUUAGUUGGCGGGGUAACGGCCCACCAAGACUGUGAUCCUUAGGGGUUCUGAGAGGAAGGUCCCCCACACUGGCACUGAGAUACGGGCCAGACUCCUACGGGAGGCAGCAGUAGGGAAUAUUGGGCAAUGGGCGGGAGCCUGACCCAGCCAUGCCGCGUGCAGGAAGAAGGCGUUAUGCGUUGUAAACUGCUUUUAUACGGGAAGAAAAGGCCCAUGCGUGGGACAUUGCCGGUACCGUAUGAAUAAGCACCGGCUAACUCCGUGCCAGCAGCCGCGGUAAUACGGAGGGUGCAAGCGUUGUCCGGAUUUAUUGGGUUUAAAGGGUGCGUAGGCGGCCCGUUAAGUCAGCGGUGAAAGUCUGUGGCUCAACCAUAGAAGCGCCGUUGAUACUGAUGGGCUUGAGUGCCGUAUGGGUACAUGGAAUUGAUGGUGUAGCGGUGAAAUGC